Non-coding RNA from Malaclemys terrapin pileata, 375 nucleotides. The record is from the annotation of a RefSeq genome assembly. Lineage: Eukaryota; Metazoa; Chordata; Testudines; Emydidae.
AUGGCCUGGGCCCCUCUGCUCCUCACGCUGCUCACUUACUGCUCUGGUUCCCUCUCCCAGGUUACUCUGACUCAGCCGCCCCCAGUGUCAGUGUCCAUUGGCAACACAGUUAAACUCUCCUGUGCCCUUAGCAGUGGAUCCACAUUUGGAAGUGUCGCCAGGUACCAGCAGAAAGAUGGGAACAGCCCAAGAUACCUUCUGAGGUACAACACUGACUCUGACAAGUACCAAGGCUCUGGGGUCCCCAGUCAGUUUGUUGGUUCUAAAGACGCCUCUAAUACAACCGGCUACUUAACCAUCUCCGGGGUCCAGGCAGAGGACGAGGCUGAUUAUUACUGUGCUGGAGGUUUUGGCAGUGGUAGCACCUGGCAGUAA